RNAcentral lists this ribosomal RNA (407 nucleotides) under Salmonella enterica subsp. enterica. Its description in RNAcentral is "bacterial SSU rRNA". It matches the Rfam family "Bacterial small subunit ribosomal RNA", at positions 284 to 683 of the family's 1533-position model. The record is from RNAcentral. Lineage: Bacteria; Pseudomonadati; Pseudomonadota; Gammaproteobacteria; Enterobacterales; Enterobacteriaceae. RNAcentral also lists the same sequence under 1 other name.
UAGCUGGUCUGAGAGGAUGACCAGCCACACUGGAACUGAGACACGGUCCAGACUCCUACGGGAGGCAGCAGUGGGGAAUAUUGCACAAUGGGCGCAAGCCUGAUGCAGCCAUGCCGCGUGUAUGAAGAAGGCCUUCGGGUUGUAAAGUACUUUCAGCGGGGAGGAAGGUGUUGUGGUUAAUAACCGCAGCAAUUGACGUUACCCGCAGAAGAAGCACCGGCUAACUCCGUGCCAGCAGCCGCGGUAAUACGGAGGGUGCAAGCGUUAAUCGGAAUUACUGGGCGUAAAGCGCACGCAGGCGGUCUGUCAAGUCGGAUGUGAAAUCCCCGGGCUCAACCUGGGAACUGCAUUCGAAACUGGCAGGCUUGAGUCUUGUAGAGGGGGGUAGAAUUCCAGGUGUAGCGGUG